RNAcentral lists this ribosomal RNA (367 nucleotides) under uncultured bacterium. Its description in RNAcentral is "bacterial SSU rRNA". It matches the Rfam family "Bacterial small subunit ribosomal RNA", at positions 142 to 507 of the family's 1533-position model. The record is from RNAcentral.
AAUAGCCCAGAGAAAUUUGGAUUAAUACCCCAUAGUAUAAUGAAGUGGCAUCACUUUAUUAUUAAAGAUUUAUCACUCGAAGAUGGCUGUGCGGCUGAUUAGGUAGUUGGCGGGUAAAGGCCACCAAGCCUGCGAUCAGUAACUGGUGUGAGAGCACGACCAGUCACACGGGCACUGAGACACGGGCCCGACUCCUACGGGAGGCAGCAGUAAGGAAUAUUGGUCAAUGGAGGCAACUCUGAACCAGCACCCCCUGCCGCGUGGAGGAUGAAGGUCCUCUGGAUUGUAAACUUCUUUAUAUGGGACGAAAAAGGCUUUCCUAAGUCGUCUGACGGUACCAUAUGAAUAAGCACCGGCUAACUCCGUG